AGCCGAACGAGAAUCUACUGAAAGAGUUUUCGGACAAUGGAAGUAGAGGAAAGUGGCGGACGGGUGAGUAACGCGUGAGGAACCUGCCUUGAAGAGGGGGACAACAGUUGGAAACGACUGCUAAUACCGCAUGAAGCAUAGGGGUCGCAUGAUUCUUAUGCCAAAGAUUUAUCGCUUCAAGAUGGCCUCGCGUCUGAUUAGCUAGUUGGCGGGGUAACGGCCCACCAAGGCGACGAUCAGUAGCCGGACUGAGAGGUUGAACGGCCACAUUGGGACUGAGAUACGGCCCAGACUCCUACGGGAGGCAGCAGUGGGGAAUAUUGGGCAAUGGGCGCAAGCCUGACCCAGCAACGCCGCGUGAAGGAAGAAGGCUUUCGGGUUGUAAACUUCUUUUAAGAGGGAAGAGCAGAAGACGGUACCUCUAGAAUAAGCCACGGCUAACUACGUGCCAGCAGCCGCGGUAAUACGUAGGUGGCAAGCGUUGUCCGGAUUUACUGGGUGUAAAGGGCGUGCAGCCGGGUCUGCAAGUCAGAUGUGAAAUCCAUGGGCUCAACCCAUGAACUGCAUUUGAAACUGUAGAUCUUGAGUGUCGGAGGGGCAAUCGGAAUUCCUAGUGUAGCGGUGAAAUGCGUAGAUAUUAGGAGGAACACCAGUGGCGAAGGCGGAUUGCUGGACGAUAACUGACGGUGAGGCGCGAAAGUGUGGGGAGCAAACAGGAUUAGAUACCCUGGUAGUCCACACUGUAAACGAUGAAUACUAGGUGUGCGGGGACUGACCCCCUGCGUGCCGCAGUAAACACAAUAAGUAUUCCACCUGGGGAGUACGAUCGCAA
RNAcentral lists this ribosomal RNA (832 nucleotides) under uncultured bacterium. RNAcentral's name for it is "bacterial SSU rRNA". It matches the Rfam family "Bacterial small subunit ribosomal RNA", at positions 60 to 891 of the family's 1533-position model. The record is from RNAcentral.